RNAcentral lists this small nuclear RNA (103 nucleotides) under Sorex araneus (European shrew). Lineage: Eukaryota; Metazoa; Chordata; Mammalia; Eulipotyphla; Soricidae. The record is from RNAcentral.
AUUCACUUUGCCAGCAUAAAUGCUAAAUGUUGAGUAAUACAGAUAAAGCUAGCAUAGCCCCAGGGAAAGAAUGAUAUAUAUUUGUGAAGAAUUCCAUAUAUUU